GGUCUGCUGGCCCAAUGGUUAAGGCGCUUGACUACGACCCGUUAACCUGUACAUCAAGAGAUUCCAGGUUCGAGUCCUGGGUAGAUCA
Molecule: transfer RNA, 88 nt
Organism: Microbotryum lychnidis-dioicae p1A1 Lamole
Lineage: Eukaryota; Fungi; Basidiomycota; Microbotryomycetes; Microbotryales; Microbotryaceae
Rfam family: tRNA
About the family: Transfer RNA (tRNA) molecules are approximately 80 nucleotides in length. Their secondary structure includes four short double-helical elements and three loops (D, anti-codon, and T loops).
Source: Rfam